CAGAGGGAUAGUCAGGUUUUGCAAACUUUCUAUUGACUGCAACAAGUAUUGGCAUAGUUCUCUCAAGUGACCAGGAAGAAAUCACAUUCAGGAGGCAUCAUAUCAAACAGGGCCCGAUAUACUGUACAAAGCAGUUUUGACUUAUCUAUUGCUUAUCAGUUGUGAAGGAUGACAGUUGUUAUCAUCUCCAAUAGCCAACAGGACCAGUGCUGAAUGAUCUUUGAUUAUGCUAUCUAGGAAUGAUGAAAAUUAUAUCUGAAGAAUAUGGAGAGCAGCAGAUUAAAGAAGUUAUUAUAAUCUUUGUAGCACACAUCGUAAAAGAUAAAAUUCAGGUAUUCUAUCCCAAACAUCAUCAAAAAUGCACAACAAGGAAUGUUCUUUCU
This 383-nucleotide long non-coding RNA is filed under the name Notechis scutatus (mainland tiger snake). Its description in RNAcentral is "lncRNA (ENSNSUG00000017749.1)". Lineage: Eukaryota; Metazoa; Chordata; Lepidosauria; Squamata; Elapidae. The record is from RNAcentral.